Molecule: ribosomal RNA, 305 nt
Filed under: uncultured bacterium
Lineage: Bacteria
Description: bacterial SSU rRNA
Rfam family: Bacterial small subunit ribosomal RNA
Source: RNAcentral
UUUUCCUACGGGACGCAGCAGUGAGGAAUAUUGGUCAAUGGGAGAGAUCCUGAACCAGCCAAGCCGCGUGAGGGAAGACUGCCCUAUGGGUUGUAAACCUCUUUUGUCAGGGAGCAAUUGGCGCUACGUGUAGCGUUAUCGAGAGUACCUGAAGAAAAAGCAUCGGCUAACUCCGUGCCAGCAGCCGCGGUAAUACGGAGGAUGCGAGCGUUAUCCGGAUUUAUUGGGUUUAAAGGGUGCGUAGGCGGAAUGCCAAGUCAGCGGUAAAAUCGCGGGGCUCAACCUCGCUCCGCCGUUGAAACUGG